Long non-coding RNA from Rhea pennata, 3555 nucleotides. RefSeq lists it as uncharacterized. NCBI's taxonomy places the organism in Eukaryota, Metazoa, Chordata, Aves, Rheiformes, Rheidae. The record is from RefSeq and is a predicted model, not a curated record. The transcript has 7 exons.
GACCGGACCGGACCGGACCGGACCGGACCGGACCUCGCCGGCGGGACGCGGCGAGCGGAGCCGUCCCGGUGCGCAACGAGUCGGCGCCGCCGCUGGCCCCCUCGCCGCGGCCCGGGUGGUGGUGGUGGUGGGGGCACGCGUUAGGCCGGGCCUGCUGCGUGGUUCGGUGUCAGUUCGUCGCUCUGAGCAAGUGUCGGAGAGUAGUCAUGGGGACUGUUCUACUUGCAGCAAUGUUUUGAUCAAUCAUCUGAGAAAAGAUCCUGGAGAGAUGAGGCAGCGUAUCUCCUAUUUCUGAUGUCAGGCUUUGUUCUGUGAAACUGACCUUUAAAACAACCUAAAAAUGAGGAAUGUGGCACCAGAGAGCAGAUCAGGAAGCAUGAAAUGAUAGAUGAACUUAGCACUGGAAGGUGGAAGAGGUAUCAGACAGUAACACAAUUGGAUGCCACCCAGCUCAAACGGGGAUGCAGGUGUCACUGGGACAGCUCAUGAUAGAGCGUAGCAGAAGGAGUAACAGAAACAGAUCAAAAACUACAGCAGCAAAAAGUACAUCUUCAGUCCCUUCAAAGACCUUUGGAAGGCUGCUGAUGCAUGCCUGGUGUAUCCCCAAAUACUGUGAUUGUUCCCGCUGUUUCUGCAAAGGAGACCAAAACCAAUUUUGCUACAAAAGGGAGACGAUGUUAAUAUCGUGUACCUGGCUCAAGUCCAGAUCAUCCAUCAACACUCUGUUGUCCUCUAGCUCACCAUUGUCAUGUUCUACCUGGAACAAGCUUUGGAGAGGAGUCACUGCCGAACAAAUAAUACGCACCUGAGAGAGGAAAAACAGGCAACAAUACGAUCACCUGUGUUUUACGCAUAAGGGAUAAAAUGCAUCUUUUAUGAAAAGCAAACUUCAGUUUAUGACCUUGUUUUUUCCCAGCUCCCCUUCUGUUACUAUGGGCUUCACAGCUAGAAACCAAAUGGCUACCAGCAACAGUUUCACAUAUAACCUCUGAAAAGUCUCAUGUGAAUGCAGAGUAGCUGAACUUGCAAUGUUUCGAUGAAAUAAAGCAAGAAAAGGUUCAAGGAAGUCUGAAGCGACUGCUGGAUGGAAACAUUACGGAGAAAACCCACCAAAUAUCCCAGUAUCAGAUACAGAUUAUAGCUAGCUGGACAAUAAUCAUAUCAAAUGCAAAAAAAAGGGGGGCGGGAGGGAAGCACUAAAACCAACAUAUACGAAGAUACUCCUGGAGAUUUUAAGAUUACCUGCAAAAAAAGGACUUAGGUAAUGAUAAUUUUUAUUCUAUAUUUAGCACUGAACUACUGUUAAGUACAGAGAAGAUCAAGUAUGUCUGUAUGCAGGGUACCUGGAAGGGACAAGAGCAGCAACCUGAUUGCGUGUAAGAGGAGAAAUAAUUUCUUUUGUCUCUCUUCAGGUAUGAGAUUAUCAACAUCCCUGUUAGUCAGGUUCAUUCUUUUAUCACAUGAUGAGGCCAAGCACUCUUCUACCAAAGCUCAAAACUCUGAGGAAUUAUUAUUCCUCUGUGCCACAAACCACACUUCUGAAUCCCCCCCUCACUGCAAAUACAGAGUCUCAAAUAUUAAAAACCAGUUUGUAAAAGGAAAAAAAAAUAAUGUUUCAAAUGUUUGCAAAUCCACAAAAUCCACCCAGCCCCAGAGCUGUACACCUUCAUAAAACCACAAGAACUUUCUGUGCACCUUGGUGGGUAUCAGACAUGAAAAUGAAAACUAUGAGGUGAGAUGGGGGCUUUGGAAGAUAAAAAUCAGGCUAAUAUAUUUCAAAUGUGAAAAAAUGAAGAAUUAAUACUUCUUUGGGUUCUUAUAUGGAUAUAAAAACAGAGGGUUACAGUUUGCCUCCUCAUCACAGCCAAACAAGAAUUCAAACUACUUCAGCAGUGCAAAAGACAGGCAUUUCAAAAUUCCUUAAAUUAAACAUGUACAAAACACAUCAUUUUGAGCUGUUUAACAAGAAUUCUGAACUCUCUAAGCCAAAUCUUCCAAAUCUUAAGUAAUAAUAUUUUGUCAAUGUUGACAGAAAAAUGUCUUUGAAGACAUUAUCGUAGGAAAGAUCUGAGCCUAACAGCCAUGACUAUUUUGAUAGAGUAAGUUUGUACAUCCCUGCCAAGACUCAAGCCCAGUGAAAAACAACCAAAACUCAGUCUGUUAUAUUUGGCUCAGGUGGCUGCAGUUGUUGUUCUCUACAUGCAAGAGUUUUCAGAUCUUCUAGAGUGUAAAAAGACAUGACCAUGGAGAUCAAGACAAAAGUUUUUAACCUUGCUUUUAACAGUGACUUGCUCUGAUCUUGGAGAAGCUAUUUAAUUUCCUUCCGCCUUAUUCUCCUUUGUAAAAAGCAGCAACAAUUACCAAGUUUGCGAACGUUCUGGGGACAGUUUAAAUCCUGUUUGUAUUCCUCUGACCUUGGUAAGGGCCCAGUUUCCAUGCUGCUCCCAAUUGCUCAGAAGCUCUUCCAACUGGCCCUUAAUGGUCAAAGCACUCCAAGCACGGGCGAGGGUGACAUGGGGGCACUCAGGCGGCUUCUCCUCAAGUCACCUCCUCCCUAGCCUGUUCCACUCGCAGCACUGGCAAAAGGCUGGCACCAGCACUCACGCACUGACUCUGGGCAACAGGGUAAUACCAGCGCCAGAGAAAAUAGGUUCAAGGCCAAACCACUCCAGCACCAGAGAUUCAGGCUGUAUGCUCCACAUACAGAAGCUCCAUUUAGGAGCAAAGUUCCACUAUUUCACCAGCCAGCCCACCCCUCCCCGGUUAAAUGUGCUGUCAAAAUAGCCUCACCUCUCUGGAGUAUUGUCUACAGGCCUUUCCCCCCCUCACGUUGCAGCAAGACACGCAGCACUGGCUGCGUCCUGACUUCCAAAAACAUAGGCUCGGACAAGAUGACAAGACCGGCAGCAAGUGAUUUUUAAAAAUUUACUAAUACCCUCUGUAUAAUUCUCUGGGAUUGCAGAUUAUUUUAUGAACCUUAAUCACAAAGUACUCCAUUUUAGUCAGUAGCAUAUAUGAAGGCAUUGCUUCCUCUGAAGUUACAAAUGAAGCUGCAAAUCCCGGUAUUGAUGAUACAGGAAAUCCUCGUACUAAAAUUUUAGCCUGAUUAAUCUGGUUCUAUGAACAACAUUCUAAAAAUAGCUUCAUUUGUUUGAUGUGUGUUUGUGGCAGUCUGAUCUUUUUUCUUUUCAUCAAUUAUUGAUCAAAACUGAACUUCAGAACCACAACACACUUAAGUAACAACUGUCCCUUAUUGUCUGAUACCAGCUCUUUCAUAAGCUGCACAAAUCUUUUGCAAUAAACAUUAACAGAAAAAUCUUAUGUAUUAUUCUUCCUGUAUUUAAAAAUGUGUAGAUAAGGUAAAGCUGUUGAAGUUUUUUGUCAUUAACUCCGAUGCCAGGAGUCAGUAUUUUAUAGGCAUCAUACUAAUGCAAAAUGCAUUAGCACUAACACGGGCUACCCUCCUGACAAAAGUGUUUAGUCCACUUCAGCUUGCCUGACUGAGUUCUCACCUUCAUUUGUUUUUGUUUCUCUGUCUACUUAACGCAUUUUCAG